RNAcentral lists this ribosomal RNA (497 nucleotides) under uncultured bacterium. RNAcentral describes it as "partial 16S ribosomal RNA". It matches the Rfam family "Bacterial small subunit ribosomal RNA", at positions 28 to 507 of the family's 1533-position model. The record is from RNAcentral.
GAUGAACGCUGGCGGCGUGCCUAAUACAUGCAAGUCGAGCGAACAGACGAGGAGCUUGCUCCUCUGACGUUAGCGGCGGACGGGUGAGUAACACGUGGAUAACCUACCUAUAAGACUGGGAUAACUUCGGGAAACCGGAGCUAAUACCGGAUAACAUGUUGAACCGCAUGGUUCAACAGUGAAAGACGGUCUUGCUGUCACUUAUAGAUGGAUCCGCGCCGCAUUAGCUAGUUGGUAAGGUAACGGCUUACCAAGGCAACGAUGCGUAGCCGACCUGAGAGGGUGAUCGGCCACACUGGAACUGAGACACGGUCCAGACUCCUACGGGAGGCAGCAGUAGGGAAUCUUCCGCAAUGGGCGAAAGCCUGACGGAGCAACGCCGCGUGAGUGAAGAAGGUCUUCGGAUCGUAAAACUCUGUUAUUAGGGAAGAACAAAUGUGUAAGUAACUGUGCACGUCUUGACGGUACCUAAUCAGAAAGCCACGGCUAACUACGUG